CCUACGGGUGGCAGCAGUGAGGAAUAUUGGUCAAUGGACGAGAGUCUGAACCAGCCAAGUAGCGUGAAGGAUGACUGCCCUAUGGGUUGUAAACUUCUUUUAUAUGGGAAUAAAACGUUCCACGUGUGGGAUUUUGUAUGUACCAUAUGAAUAAGGAACGGCUAACUCCGUGCCAGCAGCCGCGGUAAUACGGAGGAUCCGAGCGUUAUCCGGAUUUAUUGGGUUUAAAGGGAGCGUAGGUGGAUUGUUAAGUCAGUUGUGAAAGUUUGCGGCUCAACCGUAAAAUUGCAGGUGAAACUGGCAGUCUUGAGUACAGUAGAGGUGGGCGGAAUUCGUGGUGUAGCGGUGAAAUGCUUAGAUAUCACGAAGAACUCCGAUUGCGAAGGCAGUUCACUGGACUGCAACUGACACUGAGGCUCGAAAGUGUGGGUAUCAAACAGGAUUAGAUACCCCAGUAGUC
RNAcentral lists this ribosomal RNA (460 nucleotides) under uncultured bacterium. Its description in RNAcentral is "partial 16S ribosomal RNA". It matches the Rfam family "Bacterial small subunit ribosomal RNA", at positions 338 to 795 of the family's 1533-position model. The record is from RNAcentral.